RNAcentral lists this ribosomal RNA (619 nucleotides) under uncultured fungus. Its description in RNAcentral is "LSU rRNA". It matches the Rfam family "Eukaryotic large subunit ribosomal RNA", at positions 43 to 606 of the family's 3401-position model. Lineage: Eukaryota; Fungi. The record is from RNAcentral.
UCAAUAAGACUGCGAGAGAAAAGAAACCAACAGGGAUUGCUCUAGUAACGGCGAGUGCAAGCAGCAAUAGCUCAAAUUUGAAAUCUGGCGUCUUCGACGUCCGAGUUGUAAUUUGUAGAGGAUGCUCCUGAGUAACCACCGACCUAAGUAACACACAAGAACAAGGACGUUCAUAAGAGGGGUGAGAAAUCCCGGUAUGCGGGUCGGAAAGGUGCUCUAUACGUAGCUCCUUCGACGAGUCGAGUGGUUUGGGAAUGCAGCUCUAAAUGGGAGGUAAAUUUCUGUCUAAAGCUAAAUAUUCAGGCCUGAGACCGAUAGCGCACAAGUAGAGUGAUCGAAAGAUGAAAAGCACUUUGGAAAGAGAGUUAAAAAGCACGUGAAAUUGUUAAAAGGGAAGGGAUUGCAACCAGACUUGCUCGCGGUGUGCCGCCGGUCUUCUGACCGGUCUACUCGCCGCGUUGCAUGCCAGCAUCGUCUGGUGACGCUGGGAUAAGACUUGAUGGAAUGUAAGCUCCCCUCCGGGAAGGUUGUUAAUAGGCCCCUCCUUUGUUUGAAAUUGGCCAGGCCCGUAAAGGCCGCGCCCCGGGGGGGCCGGGGGGGGGUUUCCCCCGGCCNGCCC